UACGAAGGGGGCUAGCGUUGUUCGGAAUUACUGGGCGUAAAGCGCGUGUAGGCGGCUAUGUAAGUCGGGCGUGAAAUCCCACGGCUCAACCGUGGAAGUGCACCCGAAACUGCGUAGCUAGAGUCCUGGAGAGGAAGGUGGAAUGCUUGGUGUAGAGGUGAAAUUCGUAGAUAUCAAGCGGAACACCGGUGGCGAAGGCGGCCUUCUGGACAGUGACUGACGCUGAGACGCGAAAGCGUGGGGAGCAAACAGG
Molecule: ribosomal RNA, 253 nt
Filed under: uncultured bacterium
Lineage: Bacteria
Description: partial 16S ribosomal RNA
Rfam family: Bacterial small subunit ribosomal RNA
Source: RNAcentral